GAUGAACGCUGGCGGCGUGCCUAAUACAUGCAAGUCGAGCGAACAGACGAGGAGCUUGCUCCUCUGACGUUAGCGGCGGACGGGUGAGUAACACGUGGAUAACCUACCUAUAAGACUGGGAUAACUUCGGGAAACCGGAGCUAAUACCGGAUAAUAUAUUGAACCGCAUGGUUCAAUAGUGAAAGACGGUUGUGCUGUCACUUAUAGAUGGAUCCGCGCCGCAUUAGCUAGUUGGUAAGGUAACGGCUUACCAAGGCAACGAUGCGUAGCCGACCUGAGAGGGUGAUCGGCCACACUGGAACUGAGACACGGUCCAGACUCCUACGGGAGGCAGCAGUAGGGAAUCUUCCGCAAUGGGCGAAAGCCUGACGGAGCAACGCCGCGUGAGUGAUGAAGGUCUUCGGAUCGUAAAACUCUGUUAUUAGGGAAGAACAAAUGUGUAAGUAACUAUGCACGUCUUGACGGUACCUAAUCAGAAAGCCACGGCUAACUACGUG
RNAcentral lists this ribosomal RNA (497 nucleotides) under uncultured bacterium. RNAcentral describes it as "partial 16S ribosomal RNA". It matches the Rfam family "Bacterial small subunit ribosomal RNA", at positions 28 to 507 of the family's 1533-position model. The record is from RNAcentral.